RNAcentral lists this ribosomal RNA (207 nucleotides) under uncultured bacterium. Its description in RNAcentral is "partial 16S ribosomal RNA". It matches the Rfam family "Bacterial small subunit ribosomal RNA", at positions 568 to 774 of the family's 1533-position model. The record is from RNAcentral.
UGCGUAGGCGGUUUGGUAAGUCAGAUGUGAAAUUCCUGGGCUCAACCGAGGAACUGCAUUUGAUACUGUCAGACUAGAGUACUGGAGAGGAGACUGGAAUUUACGGUGUAGCAGUGAAAUGCGUAGAUAUCGUAAGGAAGGCCAGUGGCGAAGGCGAGUCUCUGGACAGUAACUGACGCUGAGGCACGAAGGCUAGGGGAGCAAACG